This is a long non-coding RNA of Eublepharis macularius, 333 nucleotides long. RefSeq lists it as uncharacterized. The transcript has 3 exons. The record is from RefSeq and is a predicted model, not a curated record. NCBI's taxonomy places the organism in Eukaryota, Metazoa, Chordata, Lepidosauria, Squamata, Eublepharidae.
CGUGUGGAAGGGGCCAGCCGCGUGGCGGCGCAGACAUUCCCGGAAGGGCAUCGGGGCCGCAGUUCACGCUGAGCUCACGUAUGGGGCCACCCGCCACCACCAGUCCCUCCACCAGGGGAAAAAUCCGGCUUCGUUCCUUUACUUCUCAGUGUAAAAAGAUGAUGGAUGACUCGCAGUGACUGGAUGGAUGAUGCUUAUCAGUUCCUGAAUGGCUCUUGAUGGAAGAAAGAAUAAGAGAAGAUCAACAGGAAUGACUUUUGAGCCAAGAAUAUCAGCCAAGGGCAUCUUCAAUCUUUAUUGCUGAAUAAAUGUACUGAAAAGCAGAGCAGCUUG